Molecule: long non-coding RNA, 998 nt
Filed under: Homo sapiens (human)
Lineage: Eukaryota; Metazoa; Chordata; Mammalia; Primates; Hominidae
Description: HSALNT0361059
Source: RNAcentral
ACACACUGUGUCCAGGCAUGCAAGCAUGCUACACACCACACCACACACACACACACACACACACACACUCGAACUUACAGCUACAGAAGUUAAACAUCACAUUCCACUUCAGUCCAUUCCAAAGAGCGCUGGUUGUCACCACAACAGUGACCUCCUGGCCCACCAUGGAUGGACAGCCACAUGGAAUCUGAGCACCACCGCCCCCGUGGUCCGGCCCCUGCCUGCCUCUGAGAGUUUCUCUCCUGCGCUGCUCUCUCACUCACUUUGAUGCAGACACACUGGCUCCCUUUCUGUUCCAGGCACGUGCCUGUCCCAGGUCCUUUGCUUUGCCCCUCGCCAGCUGGUGUCCUCUUCCUAGUUACCCAAGGGAGCUGCUUUGUCCUCCUUUGAAGGUGCCUGUUUAGAUUUCACCUGCCAGGGAACUCGGCAUAAUUUUGCCAUCACCAAUGAAUUAGUUUAAAAACGUCUGCUGCUGCUGCCGCAAACCCCUCUACAGCUGUUUUUGAGGUGACCCCAGUAAGGAGGCCCCCCAGACGGCUGAGGAUCCCAAGGAAGGCUUUUGUGGGAACGGCUCAGAUGACCAUGGGCAGCAGCCCCUCACCACUCCUGGAACUGCAUCCUCACCUGCCUGUAACCCUCCUCCCACGAAGCCGGAGCCACCCCUGGAUCCUUGGCCCGGCCGGGCCAUCCCUCGCUCACCAGCUCUGCCUCACCUGCUCUCAUGGCCUCAGGAGGAUGUGCCCUCGUGCCCUAGGGCCUUUGCAAGGCUGCACACACUGGACACUCUUCCACCCUGUGUCACCCUCCUCCUCCUCACUCACUCCUGGUUGGCUCUGGGCUCCUGACUCCACUGACUGGGAAAACCGAGUACUUUCUCCUUCACACAGACAGAUAUGUAAUUACGGGUCACUAUGUGCGUCCCCCUGCCCAGCCAUGGGGCUGUACAUUCUAAGGAGCAGGGGCCAGCCCACCCUACUCACACUGCAGCCCCAGGCAGU